RNAcentral lists this ribosomal RNA (253 nucleotides) under uncultured bacterium. Its description in RNAcentral is "partial 16S ribosomal RNA". It matches the Rfam family "Bacterial small subunit ribosomal RNA", at positions 524 to 776 of the family's 1533-position model. The record is from RNAcentral.
UACGUAGGGUGCAAGCGUUAAUCGGAAUUACUGGGCGUAAAGCGUGCGCAGGCGGUUUUGUAAGUCAGAUGUGAAAUCCCCGGGCUUAACCUGGGAACUGCGUUUGAAACUACAAGGCUAGAGUGUGACAGAGGGGGGUGGAAUUCCACGUGUAGCAGUGAAAUGCGUAGAGAUGUGGAGGAACACCGAUGGCGAAGGCAGCCUCCUGGGCCAACACUGACGCUCAUGCACGAAAGCGUGGGGAGCAAACAGG